GAUGAAGAACGUAGCGAAAUGCGAUAAGUAGUGUGAAUUGCAGAAUUCAGUGAAUCAUCGAAUCUUUGAACGCACAUUGCGCCCCUUGGUAUUCCAUGGGGCAUGCCUGUUCGAGCGUCUUUUGUACCUUCAAGCUUUGCUUGGUGUUGGGUGUUUGUCUCGCCUUUGCGUGUAGACUCGCCUUAAAAUAAUUGGCAGCCGGCGUAUUGAUUUCGGAGCGCAGUACAUCUCGCGCUUUGCACUCAUAACGACAGCGUCCAAAAGUACAUUUUACACUCUUGACCUCGGAUCAGGUAGGGAUACCCGCUGAACUUAAGCAUAUCAAUAAGCGGAGGA
This 336-nucleotide unclassified non-coding RNA is filed under the name soil metagenome. Its description in RNAcentral is "partial contains 5.8S ribosomal RNA, internal transcribed spacer 2, and large subunit ribosomal RNA". The stretch from base 1 to 120 matches the Rfam family "5.8S ribosomal RNA", at positions 35 to 154 of the family's 154-position model. The record is from RNAcentral.